GUGGGGAAUCUUCCGCAAUGGACGAAAGUCUGACGGAGCAACGCCGCGUGAGUGAAGAAGGUUUUCGGAUCGUAAAGCUCUUUCGUUAGGGACGAACGUGCUCUUUGUGAAUAAUGAGGAGUAAUGACGGUACCUAAAUAAGAUGCCACGGCUAACUACGUGCCAGCAGCCGCGGUAAUACGUAGGUGGCAAGCGUUGUCCGGAAUUAUUGGGCGUAAAGCGCGCGCAGGCGGGAUAUCAAGUCUGUCUUAAAAGUGCGAGGCUCAACCUCGUGAGGGGACAGAAACUGGUAUUCUUGAGUGUCGGAGAGGAAAGUGGAAUUCCAAGUGUAGCGGUGAAAUGCGUAGAGAUUUGGAAGAACACCAGUGGCGAAGGCGACUUUCUGGACGAUGUCUGACGCUGAGGCGCGAAAGCUAGGGGAGCGAACGGGAUUAGAAACCCUAGUAGUCC
RNAcentral lists this ribosomal RNA (450 nucleotides) under uncultured bacterium. Its description in RNAcentral is "partial 16S ribosomal RNA". It matches the Rfam family "Bacterial small subunit ribosomal RNA", at positions 354 to 796 of the family's 1533-position model. The record is from RNAcentral.